Molecule: ribosomal RNA, 497 nt
Filed under: uncultured bacterium
Lineage: Bacteria
Description: partial 16S ribosomal RNA
Rfam family: Bacterial small subunit ribosomal RNA
Source: RNAcentral
GAUGAACGCUGGCGGCGUGCCUAAUACAUGCAAGUCGAGCGAACAGACGAGGAGCUUGCUCCUCUGACGUUAGCGGCGGACGGGUGAGUAACACGUGGAUAACCUACCUAUAAGACUGGGAUAACUUCGGGAAACCGGAGCUAAUACCGGAUAAUAUAUUGAACCGCAUGGUUCAAUAGUGAAAGACGGUUUUGCUGUCACUUAUAGAUGGAUCCGCGCCGCAUUAGCUAGUUGGUAAGGUAACGGCUUACCAAGGCAACGAUGCGUAGCCGACCUGAGAGGGUGAUCGGCCACACUGGAACUGAGACACGGUCCAGACUCCUACGGGAGGCAGCAGUAGGGAAUCUUCCGCAAUGGGCGAAAGCUUGACGGAGCAACGCCGCGUGAGUGAUGAAGGUCUUCGGAUCGUAAAACUCUGUUAUUAGGGAAGAACAAAUGUGUAAGUAACUAUGCACGUCUUGACGGUAGCUAAUCAGAAAGCCACGGCUAACUACGUG